GCCAGGACCAUUCACCUUCACUAGAAGUCAGCUGGGAGUGUUUUCACUUGGAGGAACUUCUGAUGAGAGAUUUACAAGGAAGAAGGCAAGAAAGGCCCUCUUGCCCACUGCUGGGAAGAACAGAGAUUCCAAAGACAUCCAUAUCCAACAAUCUGAUGGAACAGCUUUCCUGAUCAACUUUUCUACAGAACCAGAUUUUCGAGUGUGUUGAGGGCCACAGCCGAGUUGGGAUGAUGCAUGGCAUUUUUGCCAGAAGUAGUGGUUGAGAAGUGACGCCAGCGAGCCGUUAAGAUGAUGACUUUUGAGUUCUCGCGGAGUUCCCGUUGAGCUCUCGCAGGAUUCCUGAAGAGUUCGAGUUGGUUGGUGAAGUUCCGGUGGAGGGAGUUCCGGUUGGUGUGUGGUGUUCCUGGAGGAGCCGCGUGGGUGGCGUUCGGGAGAGUUCCCGGGGAGUGUGCUGGUGG
Molecule: long non-coding RNA, 461 nt
Filed under: Urocitellus parryii (Arctic ground squirrel)
Lineage: Eukaryota; Metazoa; Chordata; Mammalia; Rodentia; Sciuridae
Description: lncRNA (ENSUPAG00010020481.1)
Source: RNAcentral